AUUGACCAGGUUUGUCGAUAUGGGCAAGAGUUUAUAAAAUUGGUGGGAGAUUGAGCAGGUCAUACGAUAGCCUUCUGACUGAUUUCGCUGCAUUGGCUAUAAUUGGCCAAAUGUAUGUAUAGAAGUACAUGCGGUGGGCAUGGACCAUGUACAACAUAGUCAUUACAUAGACAUACUCGCAUGAACGGCGGUCUACGGACAUGAGCAAUGACAAUCAGUAAGUUUAGCAGGAUCAUGAUGAAUGGCUAUGAUUGACCCGGAAAUUUUGACCUGCGUCAUGGCAAGUCCAGCCCUUUGAUGAAAAUACCUGCCUAAAUUGUGAAUCAUGCGUCGUGUAAUUAGAGCCAUUGAUCUUUGUGGGAUAUAUAUAGGGUUCAAAUGGGCUCCGUAUGAACUAGGGCGUUGGUUCAAGUGGUUUAUAGGGGCUCAGUCAGGCUUAGAAAUGGCAAAUCGUUGUGCAAAAAGAAGAGUAUAGCUGGAAGCAAGAAGAAUAGAGAUGCAAGCAGAGUCUCUCUUUGCAAGGAGAGUGGUCGAGGUCUUGCAAAUUAGAAGUUCCAAGUGUCAUUCAUCAAGCACACUAGUAAGGAGUGUAGUAGAAGGACAUAUUCACAUAGAUGCAAUGUCCUUUUCUCCCUUCCGAUUCAAUUUCCGAUAUCUUUCGUCAUCCUUCUUUCUCUUAUUCAGAAAAAUCUUUGUUAGGGGGCACAGACCAGUUGAUCAGAUUGAUAGAUUGUCCGUUUGCUCCAACCUUCCAAGGGUCUCAAUUUCUUCAUUGAACAAUCGACAAGCCACGUGCAUCCUCGCAAACUCAAAUCGAUAAGUUCAAACGACCAAUCUUUUACGUUCAUCCAUCCAAACCGUGCUCAUAAUCAACAAGGAUCCACCUAUUCAGCAUCGUUGUGAAAAUUACUGAUGUCUCAACCAAUGCCCAAAUGAAAAGGCCGAGCACAAGAAAGGCGUGCGUGUCCGAGACACGGAACAACGACAGACGAACCGACCCACUCUGUCGGGGGGGCAAAUCUUUUGGUCCGAAAAAGCAGCGUCUCCUUCCCUUUUUUUUUCCCCCUGGUGAAUUGCAAGGGGUGACAUCUUUCGCCUUUUAUUCAUCUACCCCGUUGUUUUGAUUCACUGCCUGCCUUUGUUAUGAAUGGGUUUGAAUGGAACUGGAUGUACAUCGAAACGACGAAAGGUCCAAGCAAACCAAAUUUCCUGUCGCAAUGAUGAUGACAAUGAUGAUUCUGCACUGACCAGAUCAAUCAUGACAACAACAUGCAUCCCCCCAUCCCCACCGGACUAUAAUUGCUCUCCCUACAGUGAAAAGGAUGACUCGUGCAACUGGGCACAAGUGAAGUGUUGGACUUGCAUUGCUCUUGCCUCUCUCUGUCUCUGUCUCUCUCUCUCUCUAUCGUCCUUUCCUCUCGAUGCGUCGUCCUUUUGGUUUCAUUAUUGCUCGAUAACAGCACGGUGGGGGUUCCUGUUGCUGAGGGCAAUAAUGAAGGAGCUCAGAGGGUGGAGAUAGAUCGAUGGGAUUCAAUGGAGAAGAAUUAUCGGAAGACCAAUUUGCACUGCGGUUCUCAGCUUUCCUAAACCAGAGAAAAGGGAAAUUCAUCUCCUACGAAUUUUGAUUUCGAGCCGCGUGGAUUUGAUUAAUUGUCGAGACAAGGAGACGGGAGAAUUAAUUGCCUAGACGGGAGAAAAAAAGCUAAGUAUGCCAACCAACUUCGCAACCCGGGGAGUUUUAGGAACAUAUACUAGUGUUGGGAUACGAAAACAAUACGAGAUUUUUUGCUAACAAUUGUCUUCGGACGCUUGUUAAACAUCCAGGCAAGAAAAUUUCG
Molecule: long non-coding RNA, 1838 nt
Organism: Syzygium oleosum
Lineage: Eukaryota; Viridiplantae; Streptophyta; Magnoliopsida; Myrtales; Myrtaceae
Exons: 2
Source: RefSeq, a predicted model, not a curated record